CAUUUGCAAAACAGGUCAGUCAAGAUAUUCUCUGUACUUUAGGACCUCUGUUUUUAAGGCGUCUGUGAAGCGUCGCUUAGGCGACGCCUUAGCGUCAGGGCGCCCUCCGAUGGCAAGGCGUCGAACCUGCCUUAUACAUCGUCGUAAAGCGUCCGCUUUAGAUCCUAGGGCGUCUGAAUCGUCCGCCUAGGCGCGUAGGGCGGCGCCUUGGGCCAGAUCGGACGCCAUGGGCUGCUUCCAGGCGGGAAAGAGUGGCCCACGCGGGAAGCUUUCGCGGGAAAUAUUGGGCUCGCGCGCGAGUGCGAACAGGUAUAAGGCGAAGGGCGGGACAGAGAGGAUCGAACCAAUCGUCCAAUCCACCCGAUAGGGUUUCCUUCUCUCCUCUCUGACCUUUGGCGGCGACUCCUUCCUCUACAGCUCCGAUCUGUGCCCCUCCUCGCCGGGCUCAGCUCUCCCUCCAACUCUGGCGCAACAGCAAGGUAGAUCUGUAGAUGUGCUUGGCUGCUUGCCUGCUCCUCCUCUGCAUCUGUUUGCUCCCAAAUCUGCUUCUCCAUCCACAAGGCAGCAACCCCACCAUCGCUUCUCUCCUUCCCCAUGCUUGUCUGCUUGCUCUAGUGAUUUGGCUCUUCUCUCUUUGACGGUUGAUUGGGUCUUUUCUCAGUGUUGCUGCAGCAGCGAGGUGUCCCUGCUCUGAUGGAUCCUAGGAGAAAAGAGCUACAUCAGAUGAUCCAGUUUGGAAGUAUGGGUUCUGGCCAGAUUUAGAGAGGAAAGAUUUACUCCAGUGUACAUUGUGUGGCAAGAUAGUCCAUGCUGGAGUGAGAAGGCUGAAGCAGCACCUUUCUGGGGGUUGUAGUGAUGCAGAUAUGUGUCCCGAGGCAUCUAUGGAGAUUAGGAUAGAGAAGCGCAAAUCCUUAAACACUAGAAAGUUUAAAGCUAUGGAGCGAUAUAUUGAUGAGAAGGAUGAAGCUGAAGUUCAAAGGCGCCGUUCUGUCAUAUACAGAAGAUGAUUUGAGGCCUAUGAUUUGGCAACAACUAAUUAUGUUAAUGUUAAUUGUUAAAGUUCCUAAAUGGCUGCCAUCUGUUAUAUAUGUAUGUACAGUUUAUGAUGUCAAUGCUAGUAGUUAAAUCUCCUAAUUGGCUGCCAUCUAUUAUAUAUGUAUGUGUCUAAGGCGUCGCCUCGCCUUAUGCCUUAGCGCUUAGCCAGUGAGGCGCCCCCCCCCCCCCCCCCAGCGCCUCGCCUCGCCUUACCGCCUUAAAAACAUAGUUUAGGACAACAGGGCAGUGAACAAGAACCUUUUCAAGCUCCUCUUCAACAGCUUUUGCAAUGUCAUCUUUUUGCACAAAUGCAUCGUC
Aegilops tauschii subsp. strangulata is the source of this 1353-nucleotide non-coding RNA. Lineage: Eukaryota; Viridiplantae; Streptophyta; Magnoliopsida; Poales; Poaceae. The record is from RefSeq and is a predicted model, not a curated record.